UGGGGAAUAUUGGACAAUGGGCGGAAGCCUGAUCCAGCAACGCCGCGUGAGGGAUGACGGCCUUCGGGUUGUAAACCUCUUUCAGUACCGACGAAGCGAAAGUGACGGUAGGUACAGAAGAAGGACCGGCCAACUACGUGCCAGCAGCCGCGGUAAUACGUAGGGUCCGAGCGUUGUCCGGAAUUAUUGGGCGUAAAGGGCUCGUAGGCGGUUUGUCGCGUCGGGAGUGAAAACAGCGGGCUUAACUCGUUGCUUGCUUUCGAUACGGGCAGACUAGAGGUAUGCAGGGGAGAAUGGAAUUCCUGGUGUAGCGGUGAAAUGCGCAGAUAUCAGGAGGAACACCGGUGGCGAAGGCGGUUCUCUGGGCAUUACCUGACGCUGAGGAGCGAAAGUGUGGGGAGCGAACAGGAUUAGAUACCCUGGUAGUCCACACCGUAAACGUUGGGCGCUAGGUGUGGGGUCCUUUCCACGGAUUCCGUGCCGUAGCUAACGCAUUAAGCGCCCCGCCUGGGGAGUACGGCCGCAAGGCU
Molecule: ribosomal RNA, 530 nt
Filed under: uncultured bacterium
Lineage: Bacteria
Description: partial 16S ribosomal RNA
Rfam family: Bacterial small subunit ribosomal RNA
Source: RNAcentral